RNAcentral lists this ribosomal RNA (582 nucleotides) under uncultured bacterium. RNAcentral's name for it is "bacterial SSU rRNA". It matches the Rfam family "Bacterial small subunit ribosomal RNA", at positions 102 to 694 of the family's 1533-position model. The record is from RNAcentral.
AAGGGAGAGGAAUAAGUAGAAAUCUACCCUCGGAUCGGGGAUAGCGGCGGGAAACUGCCGGUAAUACCCGAUAACGUCUUUGGACCAAAGGUGUGAUUCCGUCUGAGGAUGAGUCUACUUCCUAUUAGCUAGUUGGCGGGGUAAUGGCCCACCAAGGCAACGAUGGGUAGCAGGUGUGAGGGCAUGACCUGCCUCAUUGGGACUGAGACACUGCCCAGACACCUACGGGUGGCUGCAGUCGAGAAUCUUCGGCAAUGGACGAAAGUCUGACCGAGCGACGCCGCGUGCGGGAUGAAGGCCUUCGGGUUGUAAACCGCUGUCGGAGGGGAACAAAUGUACGGGGGUACUCCCCUGUAUUUGAGUGAACCUAGGAGGAAGGAGAGGCUAAGCUCGUGCCAGCAGCCGCGGUAAGACGAGCUCUCCGAACGUUAUUCGGUAUCACUGGGCUUAAAGAGUUCGUAGGCGGUCUGGUAGGUGAGGUGUGAAAUCCCCCGGCUCAACCGGGGAACUGCGCUUCAAACCGCCGGACUUGAGGGAGACAGAGGUGGGCGGAACAGAUGGUGGAGCGGUGAAAUGCGUUGA